GACGAACGCUGGCGGCGUGCUUAACACAUGCAAGUCGAACGGAAAGGCCCUGCUUUUGUGGGGUGCUCGAGUGGCGAACGGGUGAGUAACACGUGAGUAACCUGCCCUUGACUUUGGGAUAACUUCAGGAAACUGGGGCUAAUACCGGAUAGGAUCUCCUGCUGCAUGGUGGGGGUUGGAAAGUUUCGGCGGGUGGGGAUGGACUCGCGGCUUAUCAGCUUGUUGGUGGGGUAGUGGCUUACCAAGGCUUUGACGGGUAGCCGGCCUGGGAGGGUGACCGGCCACAUUGGGACUGCGAUACGGCCCAGACUCCUACGGGAGGCAGAAGUGGGGAAUAUUGCACAGUGGGCCGGAGCCUGAUGCAGCAACGCCGCGUGCGGGAUGACGGCCUUCGGGUUGUAAACCGCUUUCGCCUGUGACGCAGCGUGAGUGACGGUAAUGGGUAAAGAAGCACCGGCUAACUACGUG
RNAcentral lists this ribosomal RNA (468 nucleotides) under uncultured bacterium. RNAcentral's name for it is "partial 16S ribosomal RNA". It matches the Rfam family "Bacterial small subunit ribosomal RNA", at positions 28 to 507 of the family's 1533-position model. The record is from RNAcentral.